This 460-nucleotide ribosomal RNA is filed under the name uncultured bacterium. RNAcentral describes it as "partial 16S ribosomal RNA". It matches the Rfam family "Bacterial small subunit ribosomal RNA", at positions 338 to 795 of the family's 1533-position model. The record is from RNAcentral.
CCUACGGGUGACAGCAGUGAGGAAUAUUGGUCAAUGGACGUAAGUCUGAACCAGCCAAGCCGCGUGCGGGAUGAAGGCUCUAUGGGUCGUAAACCUCUUUUGUACGGGGAUAAACGGCGAGACGCGUCCCGUUUUGAAUGUACCGUAUGAAUAAGGAUCGGCUAACUCCGUGCCAGCAGCCGCGGUAAUACGGAGGAUCCAAGCGUUAUCCGGAUUUAUUGGGUUUAAAGGGUGCGUAGGCGGCCGUUUAAGUCAGCGGUGAAAUGCCGUGGCUCAACCACAGAAUUGCCGUUGAAACUGGUCGGCUUGAGAGUGUUUGAGGCAGGCGGAAUGUGUGGUGUAGCGGUGAAAUGCUUAGAGAUCACGCAGAACCCCGAUUGCGAAGGCAGCUUGCCAAGCCACUUCUGACGUUGAGGCACGAAAGCGUGGGGAUCAAACAGGAUUAGAUACCCGAGUAGUC